UACGGAGGGUGCAAGCGUUGUCCGGAAUCAUUGGGUGUAAAGGGUGCGUAGGCGGGCGUCUAAGUCUGGGGUGAAAUCUUGCCGCUUAACGGUAAAAUGGCCUUGGAUACUGGGCGUCUUGAGUGUAGAAGAGGUAAGUGGAAUUCGUAGUGUAGCGGUGAAAUGCAUAGAUAUUACGAAGAACAUCAGUGGCGAAGGCGGCUUACUGGUCUACAACUGACGCUGAGGCACGAAAGCGUGGGGAGCGAACAGGAUUAGAUACCCGGGUAGUCC
RNAcentral lists this ribosomal RNA (273 nucleotides) under uncultured bacterium. RNAcentral's name for it is "partial 16S ribosomal RNA". It matches the Rfam family "Bacterial small subunit ribosomal RNA", at positions 524 to 796 of the family's 1533-position model. The record is from RNAcentral.